AGAGUUUGAUCCUGGCUCAGGAUGAACGCUGGCGGCGUGCUUAACACAUGCAAGUCGAACGAAGCACUUUAUUUGAUUUCCUUCGGGACUGAUUAUUUUGUGACUGAGUGGCGGACGGGUGAGUAACGCGUGGGUAACCUGCCUUGUACAGGGGGAUAACAGUUGGAAACGGCUGCUAAUACCGCAUAAGCGCACGGCAUCGCAUGAUGCAGUGUGAAAAACUCCGGUGGUAUAAGAUGGACCCGCGUUGGAUUAGCUAGUUGGUGAGGUAACGGCCCACCAAGGCGACGAUCCAUAGCCGACCUGAGAGGGUGACCGGCCACAUUGGGACUGAGACACGGCCCAAACUCCUACGGGAGGCAGCAGUGGGGAAUAUUGCACAAUGGGCGAAAGCCUGAUGCAGCGACGCCGCGUGAGCGAAGAAGUAUUUCGGUAUGUAAAGCUCUAUCAGCAGGGAAGAUAAUGACGGUACCUGACUAAGAAGCACCGGCUAAAUACGUGCCAGCAGCCGCGGUAAUACGUAUGGUGCAAGCGUUAUCCGGAUUUACUGGGUGUAAAGGGAGCGCAGGCGGUGCGGCAAGUCUGAUGUGAAAGCCCGGGGCUCAACCCCGGUACUGCAUUGGAAACUGUCGUACUAGAGUGUCGGAGGGGUAAGCGGAAUUCCUAGUGUAGCGGUGAAAUGCGUAGAUAUUAGGAGGAACACCAGUGGCGAAGGCGGCUUACUGGGCGAUAACUGACGCUGAGGCUCGAAAGCGUGGGGAGCAAACAGGAUUAGAUACCCUGGUAGUCCACGCCGUAAACGAU
Molecule: ribosomal RNA, 804 nt
Filed under: uncultured bacterium
Lineage: Bacteria
Description: bacterial SSU rRNA
Rfam family: Bacterial small subunit ribosomal RNA
Source: RNAcentral